Molecule: long non-coding RNA, 1595 nt
Filed under: Eucalyptus grandis
Lineage: Eukaryota; Viridiplantae; Streptophyta; Magnoliopsida; Myrtales; Myrtaceae
Description: long non-coding RNA (EGRA_LNC005358)
Source: RNAcentral
GAUUGAUCCGAUUUGCGCGCGAUUUGGUGAGUAAUCUCACUAAUUCCGGAUUAGUUGGCUAAUUAUGCUUAAGGUUGGUUUAGAUUUAAUUAAUUAUGUUUAGGUUGUUAGAUUAGGAUAAAUUAGCAAUUAUUAGUCAAUUGUGAUGCGAUUUAGAUAAAUUGAUUGUGCAAUUAGCAAGUAGAUGUGGUCUACUAAUUAUUGGAAGUGCCUCGGGAUUUUUCCCGACCCUUAGUGGGCUCCAAUUAGGAAUUAAAUUAAAUAAUUAUUUAUUUUCCGAAAAUUCAACAGAGAUGGCCCGGAACCGGAAUAUUAUGCUGAUGACCGCGGUGAAGUCCGUUUAUUUAAUCGGACUUUAUUUUGAGCUAAAUUGAAUUUUUAAUAUUAAUUAUUUAAUUAAUUACUUUUUCAGAAAUUAAGAUUUUGAUGGCUGACGAUCGAAAUCUCGUGCUGAUCGUUGUGGCGCAGUCCGUUUAUUUAUUUGAGCUCCACGUUGUAUGGAAUUGAAUAAAUUGUGAUAUUUUAGGGAUUCCCUAAAUUGAUUGGAAUUGAUUGAAAUUGAAUUGUGGAUUGGUAAAUGGCCAAGUAUGUUAUUCAGCAUUUAUAAUGCUUUGUUGAGUUGAUUUAAUAAUUUGAUUGAUAAAUCGUUGGGCAGUGGUUGUCGGUAUUGAAAGUAGAUUGGUAAUCACUUGAAAGAAAACACGUGGGCUCGGUGAAUUGGAAUAUCACCUGGAGAACGCACGUGAAUUUAGUGGUUGAAUAUGUCACCUUGGCGAAAAGGUCGCCUGAGAGAAUGCACGUGGCUCAGAGACUCGAUAUGUCGUCCUGGAGAAUGCAUGUGGCUCAGUGACAGAUUUUGGCAUCUAAAAGGGCACGUGGCUCGGUGAAUUGAUGCAUCACUUUGGUAAGCGAGUACCUUAGAGAAUGCACGUGGGCCCAGGCAUCUAAAAGGACACGUGGCUCGGUGAUCUGAUGCGUCACUUUAGUAAGCGAGUACCUUAGAGAAUGCACGUGGGUCAAUAUUCGGAAAUAGCAUCAAAAAGGGCACGUGGCUCGGUGACUUGAUGUACCACCUUGGCGAAGAGGUCGCCUUAAAGAAUGCACGUGAGCCCAAGGUUCGAGGCACGUGGCUCGGAGAUUUGGAAUGUCGUCCUAGAGAAUGCAUGUGGCCUCGCUUUUAGAUACUCCUCCGUGGAGAAUGAAUUGUAUGACAUGUAAUCGACUGGUUUGAUUUGUUUUGAGUAAAUGGGUGCCUAUGUUAAAUUGUACUGACUUGCAGGUGGGAUCUGAGGCCAAGGUAAGUCAUCUGCCCUGUGCGUGUUUAGGCAGCCUGUAGUAUAAUAGUUUACUAAUCUGGCCUUAGUGGGGUAGAACUCGUUGAGAUGUAGUCUCAUCCAAGUUUGGGGAAAUCAUUUCAGGACCCCGCUGAGGAGAUGAAGAGGAGGAGUUUGAGAAUGAUUUUUGGGAGAAGAAGAUAAUCCCGAGAGGGGCCUUGAGUACGGCCCGGGUGAACUGAAGUUCUAUCUUCUUUUGCGAUCUUCAUUUUGAUGUGAAUAGAGUUUAAAGUAAAAAGUUGUGAAGUGCUCUGGUUUGUG